CUGAAUGGGCGCCAUUUUUAGUCCGGUAUCCAGCUCUUAUAACACAUCCAUGAGGAAAACCAGGUGAAGCUGCCAUCCUUUGGUUAAAAAUAUAGUAUCUUACUGUGUUUUAUUGUAAUGCCACCGCGAAACUGUGAAUGGUUUCAGUCCGGCGUCACAGCAAACAACAAAAAGUUAAUGUUAUUUAAUAAACAACCGUUGGAGCUAGUUUUACAGUGUUGCUAAAGUAUUAGCCAGCAUUACUGCGUUUUUCUAAGCCAGCUAGCAGCCAUGAAGAGAAGAAAUGAGGACUUCUAUCCACAAACAAAAUGAAAGUCAACAUGGAUAAGAAAGGAGAAUAGACCUGGACCUCAAAUAACAGAUGUUGGUGGAGACCAAACCAGAGCUAAAAGGAGAGUGAAUAUUGGACUUACAUUCUUCAGGCGGCCAGAAACAAGACUCCAAAUGAAGUUUCAGAAGCCAGACUGAAAUUUGUCAAUCGGAGAGUACGUGCUUAACAAGAAUAACACAGAGGGCUACACAUGGAAAUGUCUGCCAAUAAGCUAAUGUGGCCAUUCUGUGGAUAUAUGAGAGCAGAGGAGAGGAGAAUGUGACAGCCACAACAUGGUGAAAGGUCUGCUAACCGUCAUGGCCAUCUGAUAAGAGAGGGUAAGACAGGCUAAUAGCUGGACACAACAAACAUGAAGAUGCACAGCCUAAUGAAUACAACUCCUGGUUUACUGACGUGUAAUCAGUGCGUAGAGAGACGAAGAAAUUGAAUUGGAAGUAUCUGUGCAAAUUUGACACUCUUUAAAGUGUAACUUAAUCUUGUUUUUGCUGACCUCCAGUGGUCUCACCUCUCACCUUGCCGCAGUGAUGUACAAGUGUACUCCAGGACCCCGUGACAUCACUGUCAGGCGUGUUCCAACCACACCCGACCACUUUUCAAUGCUCUCAGAGUUGAAAUCGAGAACGAUUUAAUAAAAAAGACACAAGAACCAGCUAAACCAUCCCAGUUCCGUCUCAACAUAGCAAGGACGUUAUGAUAUUGUGCAUGAUCAUGAUGUAACUGAUAACGGUUUACUUUUCUGAGACCUGUGGAGAGCAGAGAGAGUAUCUGCUGUGGCCUAAUUUGUUUACCUUCCUCUUAAUCUCCUCUCCCUCUCUCCUGCUGCCUCCUUUCACUGUCUGUCCUUGUUUGACUUCAUUGUACCCGAGUCAUCUGUUUUAUCGAGCCUCCUGCUGAGGUAGUGACUGUAGAAAACUGAUCCCAGCAUCCUUUGCUCUGACUUAACACCUGCCUACAUAAGUUUAUUGUAGGCGGUUUUCAAAAAAUAAUUUAAAGUUUCAGGUUCACUAUACACAGUACUGUUUCCUGCCGGUUUACCGUUAACGCUCUGUGGAUAUGUCUUAUGUGGAAAUAAAAGUUUUCUGUCUUCAUGAUGGUGUUAAUUCAUUUUUUUAUGGUUAUAAUUUAUUUUUCUACCCAUUAAAAGAGGAGUUUUUCCUUGCCACUGUCGCCAAUUGCCUGCUCGUGAGGGAACGUUGGG
Long non-coding RNA from Thunnus maccoyii (southern bluefin tuna), 1529 nucleotides. RefSeq lists it as uncharacterized. Lineage: Eukaryota; Metazoa; Chordata; Actinopteri; Scombriformes; Scombridae. The record is from RefSeq and is a predicted model, not a curated record. The transcript is spliced from 5 exons.